GUCGAUAGGUCUGCUAGCAACAGCCGUGCUGCAGCAGAGAGAGAGAGAGAAAUCAAGAAACAAGUCAUAGCAACACCGGGCACCAGGUUCUGCCAGCUCACUUGCUGAGCGUUCAGAGAUCUGUCAGGGCCAGAGGCCUCUGGGUAGCCUAGGCUAGGAGAUGACACGCAAGGUGGCACGGGCGGUUCCCGUGGGGAGGAGGUGGGGUGGUGGUGGGGGGCAGGGGUGGGAGCAAGAGGUUGUGGGGCGACGGUGGAGGGUUUGAUGGGACCAAAUUCUGGAACAUUCGGGACUGCGGCACCUUACGGCGGGACCAAGAUUUGGGUCUGCGCAGGCGGCGAUGGGUGGUCCGACGGGCUUCAGGACUUGAUGGCGUAACCCCCUUCUUCCCCCACGUAUGUAUUUGCUGGGAUCAGGGGCGCUGUCUCUGUGUAUGUGGGUGCUCUGUCUUUCUCACCUUCUUUCUCGAUUUUUGCUAUUUAUUUCUCUGAGGGAGGGUUUUUUCCCACUUUAAUUUCUUUUCCCUAGUGUCAGCUGCUCAAGCCUGACCAGGGUAGAGGUGAGAGGAGUGAACCAUCCCCUGCUUCCCACCUGACCUCCCAGCUUUUACCCUAUUUCCUUCUAGUGGACAGACAGACUGGUUCUCCAAGUUGUUUGGGUGUCAGCGUCCAUCUGUCUGUCCGUGCAGGUCUUAUGUGGAAGGUAAGGGAGUGAGAAGUGCCGAAAGGAAGACAGAGGGACAGUUUUUUCCCAGGGGUUGCCUUAUUGAAAGGUCUGGCCCUGGGAUUCUGAGGCUGGUGGGGAGCCGAGUGGCCAGGGUGGGGUGUGGGCUGGGAGAAGUGGGGUAAAGCUGGUAGGUUUGUCACUGCGUAGUUGGGAAAAGUGGGGAAUGGUGACGCAGUCACUGUUGCAUCUGGUUAGGAGCUCUAUGGGGACAGGUAGUGAGGCUCCUGGGGUCUCUGUGGCCAGCUGAGAGGGGUUAAGGAUGAGCUAAGAAGGGAAGCUAGCAUUUAGAGAUUAAAUGUCAUCCUUUUGGCGUUGGAAAGUUGUUUACCUUGCGCUCUCUGUGUCUCCAUGUUGGCUCCCUUCCAGUUCACAUGUGAUGGCCUUCCCUGUACUGCUGCAUCAUUAACUAAGUGACUGAGCUGGCCUUCCAUUGGCCAGGGGAGGGCUCUCCCUCCAGACACUUCCUCUGAUUGGUGGGUGGGCCAAUGGCAGGUGAAAAGCUUUUUUUGAUUGGCUCAGGGCAGGGUAUCAAAUCUGAAUUUGCAUUUCACUUGCUUAAAGGGGAGCGGGGAGAAGCCCAGCAGCUUUCUAAAAUCUCUUUAGGGGUGUGCGUAGGCUCCUGUGUCUAUGCCUGCUUUUGACUGCCCAGUUGAAGCCUCUUCCUAUGCCUUUUAAAAUUUCACGCACUAUAAGGAGGAAGAGCUCAGGGCUCCCAAAACUUUUUAUUUAGAGGGAAGAAUGCUAGGGAGAUGGGUAUGCAGAGGGUUGACCAAAUUGGAAGAAAAUAUUUAUUCUGUAGUUUGGUGUUGGAAAAGGGAAUUUUCCAAUCAGCCACACCUCAGUGUUGCGGCAAAAUAAUUCUUGGCUCCCCUGGAAACGCAUGGGCAAGGUAGGGCAGAGCUGCUGCUGCUGAUACUGCCACCACCCUGGGCUUCCUGCUGACUCUGGGCUACUCCCUGGGGACAACAGAUUUGCAUUGACGUCCGGGGCUGUCCAGAGGCCCUCAAGAGCCAGUUGUGAGCUGAGCCCAGUAUGGGAAAGAUCUACCUUCUGGAAGCUACUACUACGUGGUGCUUGGAAAGGUGAGGAUGGGGGACUGACCCCAGGAAAUUGCUCGAAACUCCGCAUCUGGUGGGAUUUCCAGAAAAGUCAGUGGGAGACGGGAGGUUUGGAGGCCCCGGGUUAGAAAGGUUUGUCAGUCUAGGGAAUGAGGAGAAUCAGAAUAAAACUAGGGCAGCAGGCUGUCCGCCUUUGGUUGGGGGAGGGAGGCCUCGAAAAAUCAGGGUCCCGGCUCUCUAACCUGUCUUUGUCGCAGGUCUCACGUUUGUGGGGAGGGGGUUUACCAAGCCCUGCGCCAUGCGCAGUGGCCCCCACCCGUGACUGCGCAUCUGGAAGCGCAGUGCGCCCUGGGUCUCUGGCCUAGGACGAGCACCGCCCUUCUUAUUACAUAACUGAGGGCAUGGCACGCGCCUUCUCGGCCCUUCCUUGCAACCCUACCUUCUUGCUCCCCAGGGCCCAUAGAGCUGGGGAGGGUCUGACUGGGUAGCAGUGAAGGACUGCAAUCCCUGGGAGGGCUAACUCUUGUCUAGUUACUGGCAGGAGCCAAGCUUGAGGACAAAAGUGGUGGUUUUCUAGCCUCAUCUUGGGGAAGAGGCUACAGAACAUCCUUCUGAGUGCCCCAUACCACCUAUGGCCCCUAGGGCCUCUCUGGUGGAGGGGGUGGCACCCUUCUUUCACUCAUGUCCCAUCUGAUUUUUGAGAGGAUGUUUCUGAAGGAAAAGAUGUGAUGAUUAUCGGGGGCUUGGUUGGGAGGUAGUUUUGACAGUUUACUCCCCUUGUCACUGGCUUCCCCUCUUUUCCCUGGGUGGGUUUAUGAUCUUUCUGGACUCCUCUGAUGAGCUGCCAUUUUGGAGCCAUUUCUGCUGGUCUCCGACAUGGUGGCGUUGGUUUUUCUGUCCUGCUGUGCCAGUUCCGCAGAGUGGGCGGGGGGCGGGGGCUAUGACGGAGGAGGGGAAGGGGGGGCAAAAGCACAGCAGAGGCAGGCACAGUGGUGGCUGCCGCAAUGAAGGUGGCUCUAGGGGCAGAGCCGCCUAGUCCCACCCUUGGACACAGUCCUGGGUGGGGAUUCAGGUGGAAGGCGUCUGGGUAGGGGUUCAACACCUGGGCCCGGCUUUGCCAGAGCGUGGGUUUCCCAUGUCCUCAUCAGCCUGGUGCUUGGAGUAGUUCGGAAAAGCUGAGUGUCUGAAUGAGAGUGGAGGCAGAGGCUCGGCAGCUCAUCUCAGACGUGUCAGACCCGUGGUUUGUGUUCCCCAAAUAGGCUCUGUCUCCAGCAGCCUCCCUGUGGGGACAGGGAAGUGAGGUCCAUGGCAGCUUUGAGGAUCUGUUCGGAUGGUCCUGCCUGCUUACUGUUUUUCUUCUCUUUCUCCUCCAUGCCCCCUGCCAGUGCCAUGGUUCCAGCUGUAGUCCUCUUGUGAGGCUCCCCGCUGCCCGUUCCCCCUCUCUCCAGGCCCUUCUGCGUGCAGCGGCCAUCUUGUCUUUCUUGCUCAGAAACUUAAAAUGGUUUCUCAUAAUUCCCAGAGUAAAAUUCCUUCCCUUUAGCGUGAUGCUCAAUGCUGGCCGUAACUGGCCUUAGGUUUCCUGUACAGUCUUACCUCUCUCAGUUUCUUUUGGUGGACCAUAGGUUCCAACAAAACCAGGCAACUUCCUUUUCCUAUCUGUUUUCACCAGUGAUGUUUUCCAUGCCUCUUCUCCUCUGCAUCCACCUGUGGCAGUCUCACUUUCUCCGUGGACCUCUCCUGAUUUCCUUGGCAAGAAGCAGUUCUCAUAACCACCCCUGCCCUUUCAGCCAAACUUCCAUACAGUCUGUCCCUUUUUAUGGUACUUUUGUUGUGUUAUGAUUAUUUGUGUAUAAGUCUUAUGUCACCUAUCAGAUUGGGAGCUCCAGGAGGGAGGCUAGAGAAAGGAGAAGGAAAACAAAUACCUAUUUGGUGCCUUCUGUUUGACAGAUACCAUGUUAUACACUUUCCCUGCAGUUACUUCAUUUACUCCUUUCCACAGCCCUGUGGGGAGCAUCCCAUGUCUAGUAAGUGGCCUGGUCAUGACUAGAGCCCUGGUCUUCCAAAGCCUUUACAUUUUUCCUCUCUGAAUUACUGGUGUUUACAAGAUGGCUGUUAUGAAGUAGAUCCCCAAAAUUUGUCUAUUUAAGGAAUUUUGUAAGUCCCUAAUGCUCUGAGGGAGUUUGGGUGGUCAAUCUUGUGUCCAUGGUCUGGGUCCCUCAGCUGUUCCUUGACACUGUCAUUAACUUUCUCCUCUUCCUUUGUGGUCAGGUUCACUCAAGAUGAUGGCUUUUUUCUUGUAGCUGAAAUUGAUGGAUUAACUGACUCAGUUAUCCUGGUUGCCUUCCUCGUACAAGAGGAGGGAGAGGUGGAGUGGGAUACAGCAUCUUCAAAGCCAGAAUAAGCUCCAGAAUUAGAGAGCAGGGAGCAGAGACACUGGACUUGAACAGACCUAGGUUUUCAUUGUGAUCCUUCUUCUUAGCUGAGUGACUUUAGACAAGUCAUAUGAUUUAAGUUUUCAGUGAGAUGGAGCUACUACAACUGUUAUACAGAAAUGCCUAAUAUAUUGGCAGCAAAUAGGUUCCCAUCCCUACCCAGUGGUUUAUCAGGGACUUAAAAUGGGAGCAUAGCAGGGGGCUAGAGAAGAAAUGGGGGAGACAGGAGCUCCUGUGCCCUAAGUGGUAUCACAGCAGGGGCGCAGAGGAGGUAACCUAGGCGUUACGCCCUUCAAGCCUGCAAGGUGUACUGUCCCCCACCUGCCAUAAAUACCCCUUUACUUCUGCAUCAGGAACAUGCCAUGGCAUCUGAGUGGUGGGGGCUGGUGACGGCAGAGGGAGGGUCAGUGAGCUUUCCUGGGAGCCUUUUGAUGCCAGGUUAGUUUCCCUUCUUUCUGAAUCUCAGCAGUGGCUGCCUGCUUCCCUGACGCUGCUGAGUCCCACGGGAGGGGAGCUGGGCACCCUGAAGCCCCUCGUUACCAAUUCGGGGGCCGCGGAGCAGAGUGUGACGACAGCCAGUGAGUCGUCAGUCGACGGCAAUGGGGACCCUGGUGACGGCUGCUUUGUUGUUUUUUUUCCUCUUUGGAAGAUGACUCAGUGUAUCGGGAGCCGGGAGAUGGAGCUCUCAGCAGAGUGGCCAGGAUGUUCUGUCAACAUGAAAGCUACAAAAACAGCUCGGGGCUCUGAGCUGAUCCUUAGCCUGGGGUCAUUUUCAGGGAGGGCUGGACAGAGAAGGCGGCCACCGCCCGGGCAUCAGGAUGGGAGCGACACCAGAGGACUCAGGAGAGUGCAGCUUGCUCUGUGAGUGGGUGACAACCUCUUGGCGACUCAGGCUCAGCUGAGGAUGGUGCCAGUGUGCCGGAGACAGCCGUCAUACUGCCGGAUAGAGUGGCUCACUUGCAUGUAUUUGGAACAAAAAAAGGAGAUGCCUGGCAGCCCCGCUCUCUGCAGUAAGUAUUCAUCUGCAUUCUUUUACAUUCCUUUAUUUCUUCGAACAUCAGAAAUGGGUAGAUGUUUAUUGAGCCCAGCCACCUGCUAUGCCUUCUCCAUUCUUCUCCCACACACCCCACCCUUAGUCCUCCAGAAGAGAGGACUAGAUUGAUUUUCUCAUGCUACUGGAUAGCUGCAGAGAAGCUAGAAUUUGCUGUUCAGCCCCCACACAUCCCCCUCACAUUUGGGAGAAGUUGAUUUUCCCUAAAAUGGAGCCAACAGCCUGUGUCCCUCAGUGUGGAGUGUUAAUGGGCUGCCUGGAAGGACCCUGUGUGCCCUCACGGCCCCCAGCCGGGAAGUGAGGCUCCCCAUUGGCUGGCAGUGGGAGGAUGGUCCUUGCCAGCACCUAGCAUGGUUCUCUGCCAAGUUCUAGCUCCACAUCUCCAGGCUGGUAGGAACCUAGACUAUAUAUAGCAUUGUGCUAAGCAAUUCUUAUCAGACGUGUCUGCCCUCCCCUGUGGGAGUGGAGCACUUCUAUCAGAGAACCAGAACCUAGAGAGCAUGAGCCAUCUCCAAGGGCCUUUUAUUCUGGGAAGGGGUGUGUGUGUGUGUGUGUGUGUGUGUGUGUGUGUGUGUGUGUGUGUCUGUCUGUCUGGUUCAGGGCUGCUUACUUUCCUCCUGUAUUGCAGAUGCUGAUAGAUUGAAAGGUCGUGCUAGAUGAAGGUGCUGAUGUGGGAUGAGGGCCAGGAAGGGCUAAUAGCUCUGCGAUGGAUAUUGAGCUUAGAGGGAGAGAAGCUAGGGGCAUGUGACAUGGCUGAGGGUACAGUUGAGCCCUGCCUCCGCUUUCUCUUCCUGGUUUCCUGUUUGCCAUGCUUUGCCUAAGGAUGUCUUUUGACCUCUCUCUUCCUUCUUUCGGACCUCUUGCAUUCCCUGCCUUCCUCCACCACUUCCUCCUCCCUUUGAUUUUCUUUAGGAUAUAUGAGGGCAAACACAGUGACUGGCAUCCUGGGUCUGUGUCUACUCUUCAUCCUUACCCAUUUGGGGUUUCUGGAGAUCUGGCUCCAGUUGGGCAGAGAGGGCUCAGCUGUCCUCUGGAGGAGUUUUGGUGGUGGGUGAGCAUGUUGUGUUGGCUGGUUCAGGGCAGGGUGGGUUGGAUAUUCCCCUCUUUCCUCUCAUAGGUGCUGUUGAGCCACCAAUUUUUGUGGUUUUGUGACCACAAGUGCUGACUGAUGCGACAUGACCCCAGUCUUGUCAGUGAAUCAUCACCAGGCUGCUUACUGGAAACUGGAUGCAGCAAGGAAAUAGGAUUUAACCGCUCUCUGCCUCCCAGGUAAGUCCAGUGUGGGCUGCUCCCUCCAGCCUUCCCCCAUCCUCCUUCCUUCCCACGAACACCAUUUUCCUUAUUCCGCCGGGGAAUCCUCAGACGUCUCCAUUCAGAAUCUCCCAAACGAUUGUUCUCUUUUUUGCAUUCUUCUCCUUCUGGCUUUUCUGUGUGGGGUUAGUAACCAGCACAGGGUUGGGGGCAGAAUGGGCAGCUGAAGUGGUCGGGCUGUGCGGACGUGUGGGAGAUAGCUGGGUAGUGUUGCUGGGUGUGGCAGUUGGCAGAGCAUUUGGGCCUCCCACAGUAAUAGAAACUCUCUUUGGCUCCAGCAUCCAGCAGGAGGUUCUGGGUUUAACCCCUCGGUAAUCCUGGGAGCCUUCCUGGUGCCUGGGGAUUCUCUCCCCUGUGUAGUCUCAGUGGAUGGCCUGUCUUAACUCUAGAUACAUUUUGCCUUGAGGGGGCUUAGUCUAGGUUGGUGGUCUGGAGUUUGGACUGGGCUGAGCAGUGAGCUUUGGGACUCUCCCUAAUUUUGGGGUUUCUUUGAAUGAGCCACUUUCUUCCUCUAGGCCUUCAUUACCUUUGCCUUAAAAAACAAAAUCCCUGGUCCAGUAAGCCAUUGCAAAGCAUCUCUAGGAAGUUGACAAAGAAAUGCUUUUCUUCUGCCUCACUUGCUGCCGAUCACAGUAAUAGCAAUGGUGAUUAAAAAUGAAAAAUGAUGACGGCCUGCAGAAUCAGGGAGGUCAGUGGCAUCAUUGAUACAAUUCACAAAGCAGACUCUCGGUGCCCACACAUCACUAGGAAGUCUCUCUCCUAUCGAGUAGAUGACUACAGCAUUCUUGGCCAGUAAAGCCAGUUGGAAUUAGCCAACAGCAGAUUGGUCUGGGCUCUAAAGAUAAAAGGAAUUAUGUUGGGUAAUUUUCGGAGGUACCUAUGGGAUCCUACCUCUGGCCACACAGUGGUCGCCUCUCUCUGCUCAUAUGUUUCGGUGGGGGUGGGGGGUUCCUCUUCCCCAUGCUGCUCCCGUUGCUAUCCAGGGAAGAUUGGCCAAUUCUGCUUCCUGUUAUUUCUUCUUCUCCUCUGUCCAUUUGAGGUGAGUCUCUAGGUUGGCUGUGAACAGCCUGAGGAACCCAGGGCUGUUUGGAAGAAUCUGAUGUCUCUUCCUUCAAGGACCCUGACAGGUCUCAGCCCUCCAGCAGUACUGCAGUGAGGGAUGGCAGGGGGUGUUGGAGUGGAGAGAUAUCGACUUGGGUGCAGCUGGGGAGACUAAAAGGAGUGAGCCAAGUCCCUCAAGAAGUGUUGGCUAGAGUCUGGCCAGCCCUGGCUGUAGGGCUGGAGCCAGACGUAGCUGCUGGCUGUGCUUGGGAGUCUCAGCCCUCAUAUGUGCAGUGUGUCCCUGGGCAUGGCUCUUCGUGAUCCCCACUCCCACGAAUAGCCCUGUCCUUGGUUAGAUUGGGAAAACCAGGGUGGGAAGUAAAGGGGAGGUUGGUUUUGCUCGUGGUCAUGCAGUUAUCUCUCUGGCCUCUGAUGUUUCCAGAAUUGGGAUUGGUGCUUCCCUGCUGAUUUUCCUAUUUUUGUCCCUCAUCUGGUUCUUUUCCUCCUUGCUCACCAGCCUGGGUUCUACACACAUGACAUGGGGCAUUGUGUGUUCCCAAUGAGGAUAGCAGAACAGUUGGUAUCUCCUGAGAGAGGGGCCAGCAUAUCUGGCACUUUUUUCUUGACCUUUGAAUUUCUGAGGUCUGGGAGUCAGGAGGCAGCAUGGGGCCUCUCCAUCCGGGAUCCAGCAGAGGUUAACAGAGUUGGUGGCUCUGGAGCUGAGGUGGUGUGGCUUGGCUGGGAGUUGUGGGGGAGAGGCCCUGCCAGGGGCCCUGAUUGGUCAGUACCUUCUCUAUUCCAUUGAAUCCUGGUCCGGUCAGCUCUGUGAAUUGUUUAAUGCAUAUCUUGGCUCUGUCCCCUGGCUCGAGUGUCCCUAAGGCUGCAGCCACAGCUUUAGAGAGGAUCUGUACCUUGUGCUGGUCACUUUUUUUGGGCGUGUUACCUCCCUCUGAGAUAUGUAAGAGAUACCACCCUUUCCCACCAGCCGGCUGUCUGUGGGAGGCCCUCAUUUUGCUUUGCUUUUCUGAGACUUGGAGUGACUGUGAGGAAAGCAUGGACUGAGUUUGCUUUCUUGCUGGUUCCUUCCACAAGAGCUGCUCAUGGGCUGAUAAAGCCAGAGAACACCUCCAGGGCCCCAUGGCCUGUGCGGAGCCUGGUACCAUAGUGUCAAGCCUACAGGGAUGGACUGGGGACAUGGGGGCAGAUAGAGCCACGUGGGGAGGUGGUAUGUGUGGUUAGAUCACAGGAGCAAGUCCAGGAGGGUGUGGGAGGACAAGUCCAGUGCUCAGCCAGGGCUGCCUGUCAUGGCCCAGGAUGGAUGUGUGCAUCUCCUGUGAAGGAUUUGCGUCUGAGUGCCUGGUACUGAAGGUAGGAUGGUGCCCCGAUCAGGGUCUAUAAUGAGGCAUGAAGGUAUGAGAUGGGCAUCAGAGUUGUUGGUCCAAGGGAAACUGACCUUUUUAAAGGGCUCUCCUCUCCUUAUCUGAUUUCAUCCUCAGAACAACCAUAUGACAUAGGGAUCACUUCCCUUUUAUAGUUAAAGAAACAGAUUAAGUGACUUAACCCAAGGUUAUGCAUUUGGUAAGUGAGGUUGUUGAGAUUUAAAUGCAUGCACUUCUUAUUCCAAAGCCUCUACGUUAUCUUUACUCUUUUGGGCUGAAGUCAGACAUUUUUGUGAACUAAGAUUCUCAGAGGACUGAUGUGAACCAGAGUGAAAAGGCAGACACCCGAAGGAACUUUCCAGUCACUGGGGACGGUUGUGCCGCAUUCCUUUAGGGGGAGGCAGGGCAGACCCAAAUGCCCUUUGGUAGCCAUGGACAGGCAGAGCUGAGUAAGGCCAGUACAUGGCGUCUGCUGCUGUGUACGGAGCCUCUGCUAUGUGCCAGGGACUGUGCCAGGCGCUAGAGAUACAGAACUUGACAAAGCCAACUUUCCACUUUCAUGGGGCAUACAUUCUAGUGUGGAGAGACACCGCUAAUAAUGAUUUUUAAAAAGAAUUUAAAAAUGUACAGGGUAGACAUAUAUGGAGAUUGUGUGGGGAUGAAAAGGGGGACCCCCCACACACAUAAGGAGGAGAAUUCAGAUGAUGGUCAGAGGGUUCUAGAGACUUAGGACCUCAGCCAUCUGAAGCCACAUCAAUUGAGCUUUCCUUCAGGGAGUUAGGACUGACACAAACUAACCCCCUCUUUUUUCCUAAUAACUUGGGAAAUCCAUCCAAGGUCCCCAUGGCUUACAGGAACUUGUCGUGAGUCAGGGAUCAAGGUGGAGUAGAUGUCAAGCCUUUGGUCUCCGGCAGACUGGUUCUCUCCUGUCUGCCAUGGUUGCUGUUGGCCUUCUGCCUCACACCCUCCCAGGCACCAGCUGACUUCUUUCCUCAGCCUGGUCACUGUGCCCCACACUUGUCCAUGCAGCACAGGGAAACGUGCAGGUUAGGUCUUUGCCGAGCCAUUGGUCAAAUGUUCCUGCAGGAGGCUGGUUCUGAACUCAGCCUGUCCUGCCAGAACGAGCCGUUCCCAGAGCUAAUCGUCUCACGAUAGGGAAGGGAUGGGCACCAGGCAUAGAGAAGUGACCUGUGCCAGAUGCUUGGUUGAGCUGUGUCUUGAGAGGCGGAGGCAGGUUGGUGGUGCUGGGGACAGGGCAGGCAUGUGUCAUGUGUUCAGCGCAUGUAGCUCCAGGGCUCGGGACUUGUUUACUUGGUGGAAGAGGCAGCGGACCUGCGGAGUCAGGCCAUGUGAUUGUUGGCUCUUUGGCUGAUCAUGGACAGCUGACCCGCCGGACUGCACACACUGCCAUCUGCUGCCAGGGGUCUGAAGUUGCACAGGGAUGAGGUAGUGUAGUUGGGGGUGCUCAGGGAGGAGGAGGGUCAGGAAAGUGGGGUUUGUGUUGCUCUGUGUUGAGUCAGCCGACCCUGAUUCUGGUCCUAGCUCUUGUUGGUAAAAACUCACUCACUUUCCUCCUUUCAGCUCCAGUUUCAUUAUCUAUGAAAUGAGGGGAUGGAACCAGAAUCUCUUUGGAGGUUCCAGCUGUAUCCUGGGGCCUCCCUGAAUGUUCAUGGAGAUGUUCCUUAGCCAGUAAUUCAAGAUGAGGAAAACUAGGCCCAGGUUUCCACAAGAGAAGGGGAGGGAUCUUGAUGACCUGUCUCAGAGCGGCUGAAGUGGUACUGUUGGAAUUAGGGUGGGUGGGUGGGAGGAGGUAGUUUUUAAAGACCUCCCAGAAGUGGAAGCAGAGGGCUGGAGGUUUCGUGAAGGUGUUGAUGAGGAUCCACCGGGUGGUAGGGGACAUGGCUACGCGCUUCCCCCGGGAGGCUUGUUGGAGAUGGGUUUAUGUGGGAGCUGCUGGGGGUGCCUGCUGUCCUGCAAGGGGCUGACCCAAGGGACCCUGCUCUAGGAAAGAUGCUCCGUCCUGUCUGGCCCUAAACCCUGGAGAGAGAAUGCAGCUGUGGUUUGAGGGAGGGUCUGUGCCCCUUGCUGUCAGGAAGUUUUCCUUUAUAUUUAGCCUUCUCUUUUCAUGUAUUUUUUGAGGCCCUCGACUAAAAAAUUAAAUUUAAUUUUAAAAAAUAACAAUGAAAAAAAUAAAAAAUAAACAAAAAUAUCUCAGAGCCACUGGUUCCAUUUUGGCUUUUUAGUCUUGAGUCACUCUUAAAAAGAUAGCAAAAUAAAACACAUGCAGGAAAGCCGAAGGUCCCAGGCCCAGCCAGAUGGGGGCUAGGAGUGGCUGGGACUCUGGCCUAGCUUCUCCAUGGCAGCGUUAGUCCCAGACGUACACCACUUCUGCAAGGCUGUGUGGGUAGGAGCCCCUGGGGCUGAGGGGGCACAUUGUGCAAUCUGCUAAGCAGAAUGUAGAGUUUUAAAAUAGCUACCUUUCUCCAAGACACUAUCUGCUUGCCGCUUUGUGGGAUGUUUACCUGGGAUUAAUAAUAGCUGAGUGCCACCCCACUGCCAGUAUGGAAUAGCAAACAGCGAUCUGGGCUAGGACUCAGGCAGGAGAGGAAUGGAGUAAUAACCAUCGUAUCAGCUCACAUAGUUCUUUUCAUACUUGCUGGCUCAUUUGGUCCUCACACAACCCUGAGAGGGUAGGUGGUCUUAUCCUUGUCGUUGGUAAAACUGAACCUGAGAGUCAAUCCUGCCAAGAUCUGACUGCUUGUAGCCGCUUCUCGUGGGUCUCCCAUCUAGGUCCUCUGACUUCAGCUGUUAUUUCUCUGGGUUCUGACUAGUGGGGCAGGGACAGGAGUAGGGGAGUGGAGUCUUUGGCAGUUUCCUUAAUUUCUGAAGGCCUUAGAGGGCCUAGAGAUGCCUUUUCUAUGUGUUGAAUGGGAAACGGAACCUCAGCAUGUCCAGGUUCUCCAACUCUCUGAUUCUUCAGACUUCUUGGAGCUCUUGUGAGAACUGGCUUGCACUUUUUGGCUGGGAAGCCAGCCACUCACCAUGUGUUCUUGGAGAGGUUUCCUGUAUUUGGAAGCUUCUGGAAUAUGUGAUGCAUCAAACCACUGUGACACAUCUGUAUGGCACCUCAUGCCUAUGCACACAGGCAUGCUUCUGCUGAGUGCAGCUCACUUAGAGAUGAGGCCCAGUGUAGGGUUUUUGAAAUUUUUCCAACACAUUUGUAAGAGAUGCCCUGAGCCUUGCCCAGCAUGCAUGUUGUGUGUAUGCUACCUGUUUGCUGGCUAAUGUACAGCGCCUGCUGGAAGCCUUGGCUAAUGUACAAUGUAAAGUAAGGGACUAGAAACACUGGCUUUAGUUCUGAGUGUCUGCUUCAUGAUUGACUUGAAAAAGUAGGGCUUACCCACAGAGAGAAAGGUGGGUAAGAGAACUCGUGGGUGUCAGUUUUCCUUAAAGGCAGAGCAUAAUCCCCCACUCUUUAUAAGGGCUGGUAAGGCAGAGUAUUGGACAGCAGGACUUCUUGGCCAGUUAGCCCUCUUGAGUGACCUUUGUUUAAAUAGACCCAGAACUUGUAUGAAGGAGGAAAUAAUGGUUUAUCUUUAUUUACAGCGGAUUUAGCCAUGAUGGUUUAGGCUUUUUCUGGGGGUAUUCCUUUAGGACAGUUGAGGUUGGACAGGGGCAGCAUGCAUAUGUGUCUCUAAAUGUCUGUCCUUUGGUAUUUCCUGAAUGCAUCCUUGGCUCAUACUGAAACCCUGUGAUGGGGAAUCCACAGCGGAAUUGUUUUAGUGGAUAAAGCCUUCUGUAGCUUCAUGUGUGAAGAUUUGUCAUGUUGGAUCCAGUUCAUUCUGUCCACUUGAAGGAUGGAAAAGAGAGUGGGCAGAACUUGCAGCAAGGAGAGUGAUUUGGGCUAGACUUCUGGGAGAACUGUGCAUCACCUCUGCUGAGGGUUCCUGAGGAAAGAUGAAGCCUCUUUAUUUGAGGUAGGAGACUCGGUGUCCUCCACAGGAUCCUCCCAGUCCCAAGUCUGUGGCACUUUGAGACAGUCCCUGGAACAGCAUGAGGUUUGGGUGCCAGGAUCUAGAGCAGGCAUUUCUCUCCAUCUUUCCCAUCUGUCUUCAAGACAGGCCCAAGCUGGAUGCAAUUGAGGGGAUGCAUGGGCAGGGUACACCAAUGUGGUCAUCGAAUCUGGAACUUUGACCUUGUUUCCCUUUGCAGAGAGAACUUCUGGCACUGAUCUUAUAGGAACUGGUGUUAUUUGCAUAUAAAAAAAGAGAAAGGCAUGUUGUCCCUCAUCUUUUCCAGGAAAGAGUGCUGAGCUGCUCUAAUCCUAUGGUGGGGAGGGAGGAGGGCCGUGUAGAGGACGCAAGGCCAGACAUGGUUUGCUGGGAAGAAGGUAGGAGGUGGGAGAGGAACAUCCCAGGGCAGGCCCACAACUCUGGGAGCCACAGACAUUGCCUGCUAUACUAAAGGCAAAGGGAUGUGUUCAAAUAGGCCUACUAUUUAGCGGUAACCCACAGUCUGAAAUAAAUCAGUUAAUGGCUAAAUGAGAGUUGUAUUAAAUAUGGAAAAUCAUAUUUUUUGUGUGUCAUCACCACCUACAGAUUUAGCAUCAACAGGCCUGAAAGGCUGAGGAUGCUGAAAUGGGCCCUGUCCGUAAGAUCAUGCUUAUUUUAUAAUGACUUUUUGUCUCUUUUCAUUACUAUUUCCCACUCUUAUUCCUUAGGUCUACGUGAAUAUUUAUUUAUGCAGUUGUGUUAUUUCCUUGGGGUACAGUUCUUCCAGUGUCAUUGGCAUCAAUGAAUAUGUGACUUUGAUUUCAAGUGUAAACAAACCACUGGUUCACGGCAGGGACAAGCCAUCUCUGAGACAAGGGCUCCAGCAGCUGCCUACAGAUGCCCUUCCCCCAAUAGCCCUGGACUGUUUCGGCCAGACGCCUGAGACGAGAGUCAAGGGUGUUCUUGCAGGGACCUGCCCAACGCUAUGUCAUGUGUCCUGCCUGGAGGGUGGUGCUCACACAUGCAUCUUCCAGCCUUAUUAGCUGGUACUGCUUUUCAGCUUGACCCGAGGAGUGGUAUUGGAAGUUUGAGACCGUACAUCCCUUGCUAGGUGAGAAGGGGGUCAGAGAGGUCAGGCACAGACAGAGAAGGGAACGCAGGCUCCUGGCCACUAGCCUCUCUCAAGACAGGUGAACUUUGUGUUAAGCGAACUCAUUUAAUAUUUUGGGCCUAAUAGAAGUUAUUUGUAUUUUCUCUCCUCUCUUUUCCCUCCUCUCUCUCACUCACCCUCCCCCCACUCCCCAGCCUCCAAAGAAUUUAAUCUGCUGGACAACAAACAAUACUGUUAUAAAACUUUGAAAACAAGAGGGCGCGGCCUCCCUGACAAGGAGAAGGGCAUGUUGGGUAACGGCCUGAGGGAGCGUGCCAGGCCUGAGAUGGAGCCGGGCGAGAGCCCAGUUGGCUGGGUACCUGGGCGCCUGCCCCUGCAUAGCCCACUAGCCGCGCCAUCCCCAGGCCAGAGGGGAAGGAACCAAAACAAAAUGGGGGGCAGAGAAACGCUUGAAAAGGGAAGUUGCACAUGUUCCCCUCUCUCUGAUCUGAUGGGAAUGCACUAGACUGUGAAACUUCCUCCUCCACCUCUUCUCCCGAGUCCCUCCCUCCCUCUUACCCUCCUUCCUCCUCUCUCCUCCCUCCUUUCUCCUCCUUCCUCCUCCUGCUACUCACUGUUCUUGAGUCUGGCAGACAGAGGUCCUGAUAGCAGAAUGAGGCUGGAAUAGCACCAUAGGUGCAGCUACCAGCUGGGCCAGCCAAAGAGGAAGGAGAGAAAGUGGGCUUGCAGUUGGCUUUGGAUUCAAAUCUACCCUCUGUCUGGCCCAGCCUCCCUCCAUUCUAUUAGGGAAGUGGAACUACAUCACGCCACAGGGUGUGCCCAGUCCAUGUGUGUGGACCAGGUGUGUGCCCAGGUACUGGGGAGAACUGCCACUCAGAGAUUAGUUCAGGAAGCACCCUGGGCUUCCUGGUGCCCCCCUUGGGCUGUGCUCUGCUCUGGGGAGAGUGUUUGACUUGUUGAAAUGCUCUCUCCUUUGAGAUGCUGUGCUCUCCCUCCAGGGAGGAGCAGAGGCUGUGCUGCAAGAGGCUGGGGCAUGUCUCUGGAGGAGCUCUUGGGAACAGGAACGUGCUUCUCCCAGCGAGAGCAGCCAUGCCGUCUUGUGAGUGUGGUGCCUGGUAGGAUACUGCAUCUGUUAGUUACUUCCCAGUGGCUGAAGGAAGUGGUCACCAGCUCUGCCUGGGGGAGGUGGGGGAGCUGGGCUUUGGGGCGUCUCCCUCCCUACCUCCAGAGUUAGGUUUCACCUGAGACUGUGGUUUCACUUUUGACUCCAUCUUCACUGAGUCAAGCAGAUGAUUUAGGAAUGACCAGGGAGCAGCAUUGGUGGUUUGCCUUUGGAUCUGCAUUGGUUUGGACCCAUGAACUCUGUGGUGGGCAUUGUGUUUGUGUAAUAGACCAUUGGUAUGCUCAUUUUUCCUCUUGCAGAAAGCACUAGCUUUCUUGAAAGCAGUUCAGGGACAUGCCCAUCCUUCUGUGCCAGAGCUGAGCCCUUCUACUGGGGGAACAUGGAGACACGCGAGCUCCAGUCUUCAUUCCACUCCUCCUCCUUCCCUUUGCCCUCCACUGUCUCCUGCUGUCCCCCCAGCUCAUCCCAGGGGCAGGGUAACCUUGGUGCAUCCUCCCAUCCAGCCAGCAGUCCCGACCCAGGGCCCCCGUGCCUGGACUGAGUCUGGGGUUUAUGUCAGUAGUGUUAAGGGAGGGAUGGAAAACUGAACUUUUAGGAGUGCAGCUGCCUAGGAACAUAGACCUCCAUACCUCUGACGCAGGGGAAACCAGAAAAACCGAUGCUGGGUCCACGUAGGCUUGGAAGGCUGUUACUUUUUGCCUUCUUACCUGAAUAGGAAUUUGAGGGGCACUGUGGGUUUGGAGGAUGUGAUUCCCACACUGGGGCUCAGGGCCUGGGAAAUGCAGUGGUCCCUGGGUUCUGAGUCCUCCUUUGAAGGCCACCCUGCCAGAAAGGAAGAGCCUGAUGGAGGUUUCUGGGGACUUUGGGCCAGCCGGUAACUCCAUGCUCCCUCUGCUCCACCCUUGGCCCCUCAUGUGUAUACCAUUCCUUUUAUCACCCUUCCCUCUGAUUCACAGCCCCCACCCUGACAGCUAAAGACAGAAUGCCCAGGCUGCUGCCUAGAAUGACAGGAAGCUGGACUGCCCUUUCAGUUUAUACAUGCAAUGGCCUGGGACUGUCUCUUGAGGGCAAGACAUUCCCCUUUUACAAAAGAGCCUUCCCCAGGCCCCUCUCUCACCAAGAUGAGCUCUUCCUUGCUGCCAGGAGCCCUGAAAUCAGCAUUCCCAGAGGAAAGAAGAUGGCCAUCUGGGCUUGGCUUCCGGCUCCCCCCAUCUGGCUGGAACACACAUCAGUCACGUAAGUAGCUGUGACUCAGCACCCAGCACUGCCUUGGCAGAACCUUCCCACGUUCUGGAUUUGCACACACUGUGGUAGCGCAGCACAAGCAAGCAGGGUUAGGUAACUGGGGACCAGUGUCUGUUUGUUCAGUGGGUUUGCCUAUGGAUUUCAGAAAGAAGGAUUCCCUCACCUUCCCAUUUUCCUCCCAUGUUAUUUUUUAGGUACCAUGCUAGGCUUUAAAGACAAAGCAUCAUUUAUAGAAUGAAGUAGAAGCUGUCUUUGCAGUCUCCAAACUAUUUUUAACCAACAGCCUAUAGAUGGUAUUUAACCCUCAGGUGUGUUUGGCCUGCACGGGUUUUUGUUUUUGUUUGAGACAGGGUUUCACUCUGUAGCCCAGGCUGGAGUGCAGUGGCACGAUAUCAGCUUGCUGCAACCUCUGCCUCCCGGGCUCGAGCAGUUCUCAUGCCUCAGCCUCCUGAGUAGCUGGGACUACAGGUGCCACCACACCUGGCUAGGGUUAUUUUAAUGUAUCUGAUUUUGCAUGCAUUUAGACAAAAUAUGGCCUCUCCAGUUCACUGUAUUUCUGCUGCAUGCUGUUGCUGCUUCUCUGUCUCAGGUUUCCUGCCCAAGCCCUCCGAGCAUUUGAAUGUGCUGUGAGCAGCCUACCUCAGCCUCCUCUCUUUACACAUGAAGACACUGAGGCCCAUUCAGGGCAAGUGGCAGGUCCCUGUUCUCAGAGUUGGGGCCAAGCAGGUAUUAAAACCAUUGUGUUCUGAUUCACUGUGUGCCCAAGCAGAUUAAUGCCCUGGUGUGAGGUCGAGAAGCCUCCAGGUAGAAUGUGGGGACAGAAGUGGACCAGGCUAGAGUAUAGCUCCCACACCUUUCCCAUGCGUGGCAGCACUCGUAAGACUGACAUGCCCACCCUUCUGGAUGGGUGGUUUUCCUCCCCAGACAGCCCUGCCAACCCUUUCACCUUCAGCCAGUUUGUUUGGAGUCAUUAGGCUGAGGUGGGUAAAACCCAUCACCCUCCUUGGAUGGCAGAGCUCUCAGCAGGCUGGGAUUUUCAUGGGCUGCCUUCUUACAGGUCUAGGUGGCCUUCAGGCAUGGUGCCAGGGAAAGCAAGCCCCUUCCAGCCCUUACCAAACUAACUGGCUGCUUCCUAGUAGGGAACAGCCACCAGCUUGUUUCAGCGAAGAGUCAUUGCUCAGCUGAUUCUGAGAGGAGAAAACUGGUUCUGUUGGGAGGGCUGAGACCUGAAGGACCCCUUUUAUCCAGUGGAAUUGGAAAGGCAAAGGAUUUCAAUACUAACAUGAUUUUUUUCUCCACUUCUUUUAGAGUGUUUAAUUAAAGUGAUGCAUUGUUAAUGGCUUCUUAUCUCUUCUUCCAGAGAGUAAAGAGUUAAAUUUUAGAAUCCAGGAGUGGGGACCCAGACUGUGGCUUCUGUUAACUCCCUCAGUGGCAGUGGCGUCCUGCUAUGCACAGCCCCUCUGCUGUACUCCGAAUGGUCCCUUACGGGUAGCAGGAGAGACAUUAAAUAAUCACACUGAUGACCAAGUGAGAUAAGUGGUUUUUGAAGGAAAGAACUUGAGGCUGGCGAGGACCACUUAACCUUCUAGCAAGGGCUGGACUCAGGGAGGCUUUCCUGAGCUGCGGGGAGGAUGACAGGUUCCCUGGAGUGGUGGUGGGUGGGGGCGGGGCUGAGGGGUGGUAGCCAAGGGAGGGUGAAGGAGAGUAUUCCAGAAGAGACAACAGCUUAGGCAGGCAGGACCUCGCCAUGGAGGAAGGUGCUUUCUGAUCACUGCGGGACACCUGUGUGAUAGCUCAUAGGGAGGGGGUACUGGUAACUAAAAGUUGAUAAGGAAGAGUGGCUAAAAUGAAAAGCAGAAAAGUGAGAAUCUCAUCAAAUCCCCUCAUUUGACAGGAUUUGGACUCCCAGUAGUAACUGUCCUUAAACACUCACUCCUGACCUUACAACCCUGGCUGUUACCUGGUUAACAAGCCCCAGGUGUUGGCUACAGGUGUCAUCACUGAGAGCCCUUGUGUGCAGAUCUGCCCCAGCUCUCCCACCUGUGACUGAGGCUAGCAAGUCCCCCGUGGGCUGUAGAGCCUAGCGCUGGUGUCAGAAUCGCUUGUUGCAGGUUCAUCUUCAGUGUCUUUCCCACAGCCACAUGCUGGGGAAAGACGGCAAAGGCGCUAGAGGAGCAGGAGAACAAAGCAAGCUGCCCCAGACCACCCGGCUUUCGCAGAACCCAGAUGAUGCUCCUGUCUCCCCCUAAGUAUAACGUGUUAUGUAGUCAGUAUGAUCCCAUUCAGUGCAGAAGUAUCGCCUAGGAAUUUCCUGCCCCACCCACCCUGUUUUGUUCUUAAUGAAGUUCAAGAACAAAAUGAGAUGAUAGUCAAGUUAUGGAGCAGGCUGCAGUGGAUACAAGGGCAGAAACACAGUCUUUGGAGUUAGACCUGGGAUCUGCAUUGAUUGGUUGUGUGACUGCAGACAAGUUAUUUAGCCUCAUUAAGGAUGAAUUUCUUCGCAAAAAUUGGAAUAAUACCUGCCCCAUACGACUGUUGUGAGAAUUAAACACCGCAACUUUUGAUGUUCAAAUUCUAUUUCUUCUCCUUCUAGCAACACAUACUGUUAGUGCCAGGAACCAUAAAAAUUAUAAGGCUGUAUCUAGAGGCCUGAAAGGAAGCUAAAAUAUACAGUGUCUACUCUGUCUCUUUUCUCUUGGUUAUGGUAUCAGAGGAAAUACACAUAUUUUCUUAGCUUCAAACCACCAAAAAAGAUGAUGCAGUAAGGAGAUGGGAAAUCUAAUUUGGAAUACAGUGUGCAAAUCUUAUUUUCAAGCAGACUUUGAAAAUAAAACUCAAUUCUUACGUUAGAGGAUUAUCUGCUUAAUACAAUUAUAGGGUACCAGUUUUUGAAGUCACAUCGGGGUUAAAUAAGAUUGCAGGUUCAUGGGGUCAUAUUUGAAUGUUCUGAUACUUACAUAUGGGGUGGGAAGGAGGAAUGCAUGCUUUUCUCAAGUUAAGACACAUAAAAGAGUUGUCCUGGCCCAGGUGAGACUCGCCUUUGUGUAGCAGCUGGAGCUUCAUUCCACAGGCAGAUAGGGUGCUUGUGUCCUGAUGAAGUAAGAGAAUAUAUCUGGAAACACUUUGUGUACUGUGAAAUACUAUACAAAUGCAGGGCAGUACAAAUGUAAAUAUUAAUGUAUUUUAGUAAUAAUUUUAGCUUUUAUUUCAUCAUAUAUAAUAAUUUGUAGUGACUGGUGUGAAGUUAAAUAGAAUUAACCUAGAAUUAAUGAGUUUUGUAUUGCUCUCAUCUAUUUGAAGCAUCAGCUGUGCCUUUCAUGUUGCCUUGUGCAGCCCUGUGUAACCUCCUCUGUGCCUUUCCCAUGGAGCACUGUGUCAUAUCACAAGUAGAACUACAAGAAGAUAUUUCUCCUCAGGGCAGAGGCUGGGUCUUCCGAUUGAAUCUCCCUUCUUUCUUCAUUGAGAUCCUCUUCUUCUGGAAGCUGGUUUCACAUGGUGGCUUAGAUUUUUCCAUCUUUGUAUCUAGCACCAUUUGAAAUCAGUGUUUUAGGAGUAAGAAUUGCAGCACAGCCAAGGGUGGACUGCAGAGGAACUGCUGCUCAUGGAACUGGCUCCUCUCCUCUUGCCACUUGAGUCUGUUCGAGAAGUCCAGGGAAGAACUUGAAGAGCAAAAUACACUCUUGAGUUUGUUGGGUUUUGGGAGAGGUGACAGUAGAGAAGGGGGUUGUGUUUAAAAUAAACACAGUGGCUUGAGCAGGGGCAGAGGUUGUGAUGCUAUUUCUGUUGACUCCUAGCAGCCAUCACCAGCAUGAAUGUGUUCGUAGGGCCUUUGAGUGUGGCGAUUGUCAUAUUCUGUUGGAUAACAAUGUAUUGGGUGUCGAUUGUCAUGGGGCAGGGGAGAGGGCAGUACACCUGGAGGACCAUUUUGUCCACAUCGACACCAUCAGUCUGCUCUUAGAGGAUGCCCUGGAGUAUUCGGCGUUGAUUGCGGGGCACCCGAAAUCAGACUUGCCACCUGGACUGUCGAGGUGCAGACCCUGGGAGCACCACUGGCCCAUCUCUUACACAGGCUGACCGAUUUCUCCUGGUGUUCAGAGUCUGUUUUUGUCUAGCACCAUUUGAAAUCGGUUAUGAUGUAGGGGGAAAAGCAGCAGCCUCGAAGCCUCAUGCCAACUCUGGGCAGCAGCAGCCUGUGGUUUCCUGGAAGAUGGAUGGGCAGAGAAUAGGGAAGGAAGAUCAUGCUUUUCCCUACUAACUUCUGUAACUGCAUGUAUGAUACAUUAUUGCAGAGGUAAGAGAUAGUUUAAUGGAUUUUUAAAAACAAAUUACUAUAAUUUAUCUGAUGUUCUCUAGUUGCAUUUUGCUGAAAUGUAGUGCUGUUCUAAAUUCUGUAAAUUGAUUGCUGUUGAAUUAUCUUUCUGUUGAGAAGAGUCUAUUCAUGCAUCCUGACCUUAAUAAAUACUAUGUUCAGUUUAUCAUGUCUGUGUUUUUCAUCUAUUAUUUCCCAUUCAUAAUUCUGUGAUGAUAAGAAGUGGGUCCUGAAAAAUUAAUUGGCUGUGCAGAUCUUGCCUACUUCAUAAAGAAUUUGAAGUAGGUUACAGCCAGCCAGACAUUAAAAAUGAAGCCCAUUAAGAGAAGAAUGAAAUUCUAUGAGCCAAGAAAUAAAAUGAGAGAAAAGAUUAGGGAAGAGAAGAAAUGUUGAAGAUCAAGGCUGAGGGAUGCUCCCUACUGAAUGGGAAAACUCCUUAGUUCCACAUGGGCUGUAGACACAGCCCUUCUGCCAGCAACUGUUCCUGCAAGGAACUGGUGCUCAACUAAACAUACUGUCACAUGGUUCCUUGAAGGGGCACAGCACUGAUUUCACUUGCAUUAUAAAAGAUUGAGUGGUGCUUUUGACUAUUAGUUUAUGUCAACACUUCAAAACAAGAUGAGCCAGUUUUUUUUUGUUUUUUUUUUUUGUUUGUUUGUUUGUUUUAGACGGAGUCUCACCCUGUCACCCAGGCUGGAGUGCAAUGGCACUGUCCCCGCUCACUGCAACCUCCGCCUCCCGGGUUCAAGCAAUUCUGCCUCAGCCUUCCGAGUAGCUGGGAUUACAGGCGUGGCACCUCCACGCCCAGCUAAUUUCUGUAUUUUGUAGUAGAGACGGGGUUUCAUCAUGUUGGCCAGGCUUGUCUCGAACUGCUGACCCCGUGAUCCACCCACCUCAGCCUCCCAAAGUGCUGGGAUUACAGGCGUGAACCACCUCGCCUGGCCCAGUGAGCCAGUUUUGUAAAGCUAUUCAGAGAUUAGCCAGAUUUGAUUUGAUAGGGGAUCAAGCUUGUAGGAUCUUCAGGAAGGCGGGCUGUGGCCCCUUGAUCAGGCUUUUUGCACAGGAGGUGCAUGACUAUGAACUACCCUCAGUAGAACUCUUUUAAGCCAGUGGCUUGCAAUAAAUGAUGGCAAAUCAGCCACCUAGGAAGCCAUUUCUAAGCCCAACCCCCUGCCACAGUCUUCCUCUAGAUGGCUGCCCUGCCCAGUGGGCUGAGAGUGGGGGGCGGAAGUAGCAUUUGCUGGGAAGACUUGCCAGUACAUAUGUUGCACCCCCUCACUGCAGCUGCAGUGCUAUUUCAGGCUGUUGAUGGAAGAACCCAUGUUCUAAUCCCCAGGAUGUGGUGGGAAGACCCUAAGUGGUGGUGUUAGUUAAGACCCUAAGUUAUAUUGUUUUGUUCACUUCCCACUGAGAUAGGCUACAAUAGUAUUAAAUACCUAUAGGUCAGACAUUUUUGGGGUCUGUUGUACUACCUACCAAUUAAACAGUUUUUGAUCCGCCCACCACGCUCAAAGCUCCAGCCUAGGUGUUGCAAAUACAGACGACAGAUUUUUGCUCUCAGGAGGCCCUGAUUCCAGUCCUCAAACGAUUACAGAUUCCAGAAGCCUGCAAUCAGCUCACUGGACUGCAAGGGCCACCCGCCCUCUCAGAAGCGCCGGGAGAGAACAGGUUUUCUUGCCUUCUUCAGCUGCUAGAGCUGCGUUCUUUGGCUUGCACCCCCUUCCUCUGUCUUCCAAGCCAGCGGGGCAGUCUUUUGCUUCAGUGGCCAUGUUGUCUUCUGGCACAGUCACAUCUCCCCCUGCCUCCCUCUUAGAAGGACCCUUGUGGUUACAUUUAGGGCCCCCACCUGGAUAAUCCAGGAUAAUCUCCCUAUUUCAAUUUUCUUAAUCUCAUCUGUAAAGACCCUUUUGCCAUAUAAAGUAACAUUCACAGGUUCCAGGUAUUAGGACUUGGAUAUCUUUAGAGGCCAUCAUACAGCCCACCACAAACAGCUCCUUAGGCACUCAUUAGAAAUGCAGAACCUCAGGCCCCAACCGAUACCUUUUGAAUCUUCUGAUUCUAAUUUAAGAAGAUCACCAUGUAACUCACUAGCACACUAAGACUUGAGAAGCACGAUGCUAUGGGAACCUAACCAAAGAAUUCUCAAGUCCCAACUUAAAUACAAAUUUACAGAGUAUUUUUCCUAGGAACGCUUUCAGGUGGAGGAGAUUAAUCAGACGAUAGAUAAUUUUCCUGAACACCAUUCUGAAGUGCUUCUCUAAGCAUUUGUUCCUGAAUUCUCUCUCAAUGAAGCCACAAGCCCCAAACACCAGGAUUACUGUUUACAGGGGUUCCUGUUUACAGUAGUUUAGCACAGGGUUUGCCACACUGCAGCAUAUUAUUAUAGUUUAGUUUUGUAAAAAGCUACAUGAGAGAGGUAAAUCUUAUAAAUGGAGGUGGAGUCUCCUAACACCAGUUUUACCACCUCUGUACAGGUUUCCCUGGGCUAUGUACUAUCGAAUCAGGAAUCAGGAAGGGCGGCUUUUUCAAAUGUUAUCUAUACUUUUGGCAAUUUGUUCAAACGUUCUGCUGGUAUGUGAGAGGGAAGGAAAAAUUGUUUAUUGACCACAGAUCCACAAUAUUAUACUUCUCCUAUACUUAAGCAAUAAGGGACAGCAUUUAAAACUCUUUUAAAAAUGUUAAUCUUGGCUGGGCACAGUGGCUCAUGCCUGGAUCCCCAGUAAUUUGGAACACUGAGGCAGGCAGAUUGCUUGAGGCCAGGAGUUCGAGACUAGCUUGGGCAACAUGCGAGAGCCCGUCUCUACAAAAAAAAAAAAAAAAUACAAAAAUUAUCCAGGCAUGGUGGUGCACACCUGUAGUCCCAGCUGUUGGGGAAAGCUAAGUUGGGAGGAUCCCUUGAACCCAGGAGGUUGAGGCUGCAGUAAGCUGUGAUUGAGCCACUGAGCUCCAGCCUGGGUGACAGAGCGAGAUCCUGUGUCAAAAAAUAAUUUUGAUUUCACGGAAGGAGAAGAGGACUAGUCUUAUACCAUAUCCCAAAUGAAAUUGAAAAUGUCUUCUGGGAAUCACAGCAAUGACUCAAACUUCUGAAUAGUGACUAGGUUUGAGCUGGUAAGGAAGGGAUUGUCAAAUGCCGUGACAGUCCACAGGAGGGCAGCAGUGCUCCGAUUUACAAAGGAUUAGUCAUACUAGUGUAACCUUUUCUGAGUGAGCCUAGAAAUUCUGAUGAAAACAGUGUAGUCCAGGAAAAAAAAAAAAAAAAUCUGUAUGUACAAUCACUCAAUUUUGAAUCAUUUCUGGAAGUUAUUAGACUCCAUGUUAAAUCCUACUUAAGUACAAGUAUGCAAAAUUUAAAAAUAUGCAGAAAAGCUCAUUCUUGGUUAAAAUGUUAGCUGAAAGACAUUACUAAGUUUUAGAAUACCAUAGAGUUGACUAUUUCCCACAAACCCUAAAAUCUACUUGAACACCACAAAUUCAUAUUCCUUCUAAUCCCAAGUCCCUUCAGCAUUCUUACAGAUUUAUUGUUAGUUACCUUACAAAGUAACUAACUGUCCCCAUGUAUUUUAUCCCAAUUUAAAAAAUACAUUACAGUCUCAAGGUCACAUAAGAUUUUCCAAAAUGCUCUAUUCAUAGUCAAUAUAAUUUUCAGGCCGGGUGCGGUGGCUCAUGCCUGUAAUCCCAGCACUUUGGGAGGCCAAGGUGGGCGGAUCACCUGAGGUUGGGAGUUCGAGACCAGCCUGACCAACAUGGAGAAACCCCGUCUCUACUAAAAAUACAAAAUUAGCCAGACGCGGUGGUGCAUGCCUGUAAUCCCAGCUACUCAGGAGGCUGAGUCAGGAGAAUCGCUUGAACCCAGAAGGUGGAAGCUGUGGUGAGCCGAGAUAGUGCCAUUGCACUCCAGCCUGGGCAACAAGAUCGAAACUCCAUCUCAAAAUAUGUGUGUGUGUGUGUGUGUGUGUGUGUGUGUGUGUGUAUAUAUAUAUAUAUAUAUAUACACACACACACAUAUAUAUAUAAUUUUCACCUAGUGUUUUAUUAAACAGAAUGCUUCUGUAUUUUUAUGUUUAUUUGAGACAAUGCUUCUGUAUUUCUAAACAACAGCUAGCCUUGUUCAGUUAGCCAAACAACAAAACCUUAAUUCAAGUCUUCAAUGAAAUUUUCUGAUUUAAUAGGCUGAAUUAAGAAAGCCAUAAUUUUCUUCUAUAAAUAUAAGCCUUUAACUUCUAUCUUUACAAGUUUAUAUAGAAAAAUUUACUGUGGGGCUUGAGAUUUACUAAUGCAUGGGUUUUCAACCUUAGCUGCACUUUGGAAUCAUUUAGGACGCUUGGAAAUCCCUACACCCAAACCACAUCCCAGAUCAAUUACACUAGAAAUCUCUAGGGGUGGGACCCAGGUGUCUGUAAAUAUCCCCCGGUGAUUGCAAUGUGCAGCCAUGGUUGAGAAACACUGAAGCCUGCUCUGAGAAAUUUAGCAAUCCGACUUAAUUCAAAUCUGCAGAGAGAGCAACAAUGAUUUUUGCAGAAACAACCAAAUCCUACUAGUUACAUAAAUUUUAUACUUUGUUAGGACUUGGGUUUUUAUUUAGCUCUACAUAUGCGAUCAUAGGAUGCAGAAGAUAUAUCUUCUACUGGACACGUAUAUAUAGAUGCUUAAAUGUGGCUAUCCCAAGGUUAGGUAAUAAUAAAGACUAUAAGAGCUGGGCAGAAAUCAGGCACAGUUUCAUGAAGGGUAAUAUCUGAGCUGGGCCUUGGAAGAUGCAUAGGAUCUCAACAGGACAGUAGGUGUUUCAAGCAACAAUGAACUAGGAAUACAGCAGAAAGCACAGGGGAAAUGGUCAGGCUUGACUGAGAGUAGGUUAUUUGAAGAAGUGCAAUAGAAAAUGCUUGGGGAAGAAAGUUGGGAUUUAAUUGUAAAAGGUCUUCAAGUAUCAGGCUAAGAAAUGUGGACUUCAUCCAGUAGGUAAUGUGAUGUCACUGGAUAUCUGUGCAGUAUCUAUGUGAUGGGUUGGGAGUGGAGAAGCCUGGGGAUACUUAAGGGUCUGAGCUAGGAGGGACAGGAGGAAUGGCUGUGGGAGUGGAAUGGUUAGAAGAUGGGCCCAAUUAGAAACAUACUUCAAUUUGAGACAAAACCCACUAGAAAUAAACACAUCAUCAUGAAACAUCUCCAAAUGUACAAU
This 25951-nucleotide long non-coding RNA is filed under the name Homo sapiens (human). RNAcentral's name for it is "non-protein coding MIR29B2CHG:72". The stretch from base 19947 to 20017 matches the Rfam family "mir-29 microRNA precursor family". The record is from RNAcentral. Lineage: Eukaryota; Metazoa; Chordata; Mammalia; Primates; Hominidae.